UGGGGAAUAUUGCACAAUGGGGGAAACCCUGAUGCAGCCAUGCCGCGUGUGUGAAGAAGGCCUUCGGGUUGUAAAGCACUUUCAGUAGUAAGGAAAGGUAAGUGAUUAAUACUCGCUUACUGUGACGUUAGCUACAGAAGAAGCACCGGCUAACUCCGUGCCAGCAGCCGCGGUAAUACGGAGGGUGCAAGCGUUAAUCGGAAUAACUGGGCGUAAAGCGCACGCAGGCGGUUUGUUAAGCCAGAUGUGAAAGCCCGGGGCUCAACCUCGGAACUGCAUUUGGAACUGGCAGACUAGAGUCUUGUAGAGGGGGGUAGAAUUUCCAGUGUAGCGGUGAAAUGCGUAGAGAUUGGAAGGAAUACCAGUGGCGAAGGCGGCCCCCUGGACAAAGACUGACGCU
Molecule: ribosomal RNA, 400 nt
Filed under: uncultured bacterium
Lineage: Bacteria
Description: bacterial SSU rRNA
Rfam family: Bacterial small subunit ribosomal RNA
Source: RNAcentral